CCUACGGGUGGCAGCAGUGGGGAAUAUUGCACAAUGGGCGCAAGCCUGAUGCAGCCAUGCCGCGUGUGUGAAGAAGGCCUUCGGGUUGUAAAGCACUUUCAGCGGGGAGGAAGGCGUUAAGGUUAAUAACCUUGUCGAUUGACGUUACCCGCAGAAGAAGCACCGGCUAACUCCGUGCCAGCAGCCGCGGUAAUACGGAGGGUGCAAGCGUUAAUCGGAAUUACUGGGCGUAAAGCGCACGCAGGCGGUCUGUCAAGUCGGAUAUGAAAUCCCCGGGCUCAACCUGGGAACUGCAUUCGAAACUGGCAGGCUAGAGUCUUGUAGAGGGGGGUAGAAUUCCAGGUGUAGCGGUGAAAUGCGUAGAGAUCUGGAGGAAUACCGGUGGCGAAGGCGGCCCCCUGGACAAAGACUGACGCUCAGGUGCGAAAGCGUGGGGAGCAAACAGGAUUAGAUACCCCUGUAGUC
This 465-nucleotide ribosomal RNA is filed under the name uncultured Klebsiella sp. Its description in RNAcentral is "bacterial SSU rRNA". It matches the Rfam family "Bacterial small subunit ribosomal RNA", at positions 338 to 795 of the family's 1533-position model. The record is from RNAcentral. Lineage: Bacteria; Pseudomonadati; Pseudomonadota; Gammaproteobacteria; Enterobacterales; Enterobacteriaceae.